CUACACUUGACAUGCCUCUUGGGACUUUCAGAGAUGAUUGUUUUCGGUUCGGCCGGGGAGUGCACAGGUGCUGCAUGGCUGUCGUCAGCUCGUGUCGUGAGAUGUUGGGUUAAGUCCCGCAACGAGCGCAACCCUUAUCGUAUGUUGCCAGCAUUUAGUUGGGCACUCAUGCGAGACUGCCGGUGAUAAGCCGGAGGAAGGCGGGGACGACGUCAAGUCAUCAUGGCCCUUACGUGUAGGGCUACAAACGUGCUACAAUGGUGGUGACAAUGGGCAGCGAGGUCGUGAGGCCAAGCUAAUCCCUAAAAGCCAUCUCAGUUCAGAUUGUACUCUG
Molecule: ribosomal RNA, 334 nt
Filed under: uncultured bacterium
Lineage: Bacteria
Description: bacterial SSU rRNA
Rfam family: Bacterial small subunit ribosomal RNA
Source: RNAcentral